GGGAGGGAGCCUGCAGCGACUCUAUCAUGUUACUGUGGUGGUGGGGGAACAGCGGGCGUGAUGGCAGUAGUCAGUCGUCAACACAACACCAGCCAGCUCCACCACACUCUCCCCGCCCACGCCCACACUCACGCCCACGCCCACGCACCCAUACCUUAGGGAACAUUCCACGCUCCAGCCCGGCAGCUUCCUCCUCGUCUCCACCCUCCCCUUCACCGUUGUAUUUUUAGACUCUUAUUACGCACUUAAAUCAAGUUCACGAACGAUGCAUAUUAUGUUUUCGUCUUCAACUUUCAGCAAGACACUAAGAGGCCCUAAGAUGCCACGGGAUACCAACUAAUCACCCGUGGCAGCUCCGAUCUCCCAAGGGACGCUCGAUGAAAAAAAUGUAACUACAGAAAUUAUCCAAAAGUGGUAUGGGCGGCGCGGAUCAUGGUGAGGAGAACCAAUACAGCAACAUCUGGCGGUCUUGUACCUUGAAGGGCGCAGCACACCACCAGCGCCUGAGGAAAACAGUAACUUAUCAUGUUGUAUAUCAAUAAGAUCAUGCAGAGAUUACUCAUGAAAGUUUGUCAGAAUUGUGCAAAUAUUUAAGGAUUUUCGGUCAUAUAUACUGUCAAUAGACAAUAUACCCAUAGAUAUAUUUUGUUAAUGUCAUAGAAGUUUUGUUUUAUAAAAUUAUGUGAGAAUGUGUGCUAUGGAGAGUGAGAUUAGUGAGGUUGCCUUCAAUCCAAUGUUACUAUAAGAUGUUUCGUUCUACUACAGUAAAUAAAUACUUCAAUGCAAAAAUGAAUGAAUCAGUGAAAAGUAUAUAUACAUUUUGAACUAACAUCGUGUCACUAUGUGUAAAAUAAGCUCUGUUGCCAAUAUUUCAACUGACGGGUUUGUAUAUAUAUUCGUGAAGUGUUUCAGUGCAUUUACAAAUAUUAAAGUAAAUGUAUUUAUUUUAUGUUGGUAAUAAAUAUAAGAAUGUUCUCAGGUGGC
This is a long non-coding RNA of Portunus trituberculatus (swimming crab), 984 nucleotides long. RefSeq lists it as uncharacterized. The record is from RefSeq and is a predicted model, not a curated record. Lineage: Eukaryota; Metazoa; Arthropoda; Malacostraca; Decapoda; Portunidae. The transcript has 4 exons.